AACGAGUCGGCCUUGAAACCCUAGAUCGAAAAAGAAAAAUCAGAUGGCAGAACAUCUAGCCUCUAUAUUCGGCACGGAGAAGGACAGGGUGAACUGCCCUUUCUACUUCAAGAUCGGCGCCUGUCGUCACGGAGAUCGAUGCUCCAGGCUUCACACCAAGCCUAGUAUCAGCCCUACUCUCCUUCUCUCUAAUAUGUAUCAGCGUCCUGAUAUGAUUACUCCUGGUGUUGAUCCUCAGGGCCAGCCUCUCGAUCC
Molecule: long non-coding RNA, 255 nt
Filed under: Daucus carota (carrot)
Lineage: Eukaryota; Viridiplantae; Streptophyta; Magnoliopsida; Apiales; Apiaceae
Description: long non-coding RNA (DCAR_LNC004489)
Source: RNAcentral